RNAcentral lists this ribosomal RNA (404 nucleotides) under uncultured bacterium. Its description in RNAcentral is "bacterial SSU rRNA". It matches the Rfam family "Bacterial small subunit ribosomal RNA", at positions 30 to 430 of the family's 1533-position model. The record is from RNAcentral.
AUUGAACGCUGGCGGCAGGCCUAACACAUGCAAGUCGAGCGGUAGAGAGGUGCUUGCAUCUCUUGAGAGCGGCGGACGGGUGAGUAAUGCCUAGGAAUCUGCCUAGUGGUGGGGGAUAACGUUCGGAAACGGACGCUAAUACCGCAUACGUCCUACGGGAGAAAGCGGGGGAUCUUCGGACCUCGCGCCAUUAGAUGAGCCUAGGUCGGAUUAGCUAGUUGGUGAGGUAAUGGCUCACCAAGGCGACGAUCCGUAACUGGUCUGAGAGGAUGAUCAGUCACACUGGAACUGAGACACGGUCCAGACUCCUACGGGAGGCAGCAGUGGGGGAAUAUUGGACAAUGGGCGGAAAGACCUGAUCCAGCCAUGCCGCCGUGUGUGAGAAAGGUCUUCGGAUUGUAAAG